Molecule: ribosomal RNA, 508 nt
Filed under: uncultured bacterium
Lineage: Bacteria
Description: partial 16S ribosomal RNA
Rfam family: Bacterial small subunit ribosomal RNA
Source: RNAcentral
AUUGAACGCUGGCGGCAUGCCUUACACAUGCAAGUCGAACGGCAGCGGGGGAGAAGCUUGCUUUUCCUGCCGGCGAGUGGCGAACGGGUGAGUAAUACAUCGGAACGUGCCCUGUAGUGGGGGAUAACUAGUCGAAAGAUUAGCUAAUACCGCAUACGACCUGAGGGUGAAAGUGGGGGAUCGCAAGGCCUCAUGCUAUAGGAGCGGCCGAUGUCUGAUUAGCUAGUUGGUGGGGUAAAGGCCUACCAAGGCGACGAUCAGUAGCUGGUCUGAGAGGACGAUCAGCCACACUGGGACUGAGACACGGCCCAGACUCCUACGGGAGGCAGCAGUGGGGAAUUUUGGACAAUGGGCGAAAGCCUGAUCCAGCAAUGCCGCGUGUGUGAAGAAGGCCUUCGGGUUGUAAAGCACUUUUGUCCGGAAAGAAAUGGCUCUGGUUAAUACCUGGGGUCGAUGACGGUACCGGAAGAAUAAGGACCGGCUAACUACGUGCCAGCCGCCGCGAAGA